This 274-nucleotide ribosomal RNA is filed under the name Hydnophlebia sp. MA Fungi 87008. RNAcentral describes it as "partial 28S ribosomal RNA". It matches the Rfam family "Eukaryotic large subunit ribosomal RNA", at positions 529 to 806 of the family's 3401-position model. The record is from RNAcentral. Lineage: Eukaryota; Fungi; Basidiomycota; Agaricomycetes; Polyporales; Meruliaceae.
GGGUGUGUUAUAGCCCAUAGUUGUAUACAGCGGCUGGGAUUGAGGACCGCAGCAUGCCUUUAUGGCCGGGGUUCGCCCACGUACGUGCUUAGGAUGUUGGCAUAAUGGCUUUAAACGACCCGUCUUGAAACACGGACCAAGGAGUCUAACAUACCUGCGAGUGUUUGGGUGGAAAACCCGAGCGCGCAACGAAAGUGAAAGUUGAGAUCCCUGUCAUGGGGAGCAUCGACGCCCAUACCAGAGCUUCUGUGACGGAUAUGCGGUUGAGCAUGUA